CCUACGGGUGGCUGCAGUGAGGAAUAUUGGUCAAUGGCCGGAAGGCUGAACCAGCCAUGCCGCGUGAAGGUCAGUGCCCUAUGGGCGUUAAACUUCUUUUGUGCGGGAGCAAUAAUGGUCACGUGUGGCCAGACGAGAGUACCGUACGAAUAAGCAUCGGCUAACUCCGUGCCAGCAGCCGCGGUAAUACGGAGGAUGCGAGCGUUAUGCGGAUUUAUUGGGUUUAAAGGGUGCGCAGGCGGAGGCACAAGUCAGCGGUAAAAACGCGGGGGUCAACCCCGCCCCGCCGUUGAAACUGUGUCCCUUGAGUGCGCGAAGGGAAGGCGGAAUGCGUGGUGUAGCGGUGAAAUGCAUAGAUAUCACGCAGAACCCCGAUCGCGAAGGCAGCCUACCGGCGCGCAACUGACGCUCAUGCACGAAAGCGUGGGCAUCGAACAGGAUUAGAUACCCUAGUAGUC
RNAcentral lists this ribosomal RNA (458 nucleotides) under uncultured bacterium. Its description in RNAcentral is "partial 16S ribosomal RNA". It matches the Rfam family "Bacterial small subunit ribosomal RNA", at positions 338 to 795 of the family's 1533-position model. The record is from RNAcentral.